CAAGACUGGAGGGCCAUCCUGUUCACAACGCAGCUCCGCCUCUGCCUGAUUCUUCUUCCUCCCCCUUCCUUCACACUCUCUGAGAAAUGUCCUCCCUGCUGAUCUCCACCUGAGAGGCAGCUUCCCCAGGAAGCCAGUCUGCAGCAGACCUCCAGGGCACAGGGCUGGGGGAGUAAGGAGGGAGAGAAGGCUGACCGACAAUCAGACUUUGGAGCCACUCACACAGAGUUCACAGCCGAAGCCCAGGAGCUGAAUGAGGCGGCAAAACCAAAGAAGCAGCUCGCAGCCCCAGAGAGGCCUCCACGUCAGUGGACCAGGAAGAGACCAGAGGCUGUGGAGGACUGGGGAGUGGUGCUCCAUGGAACGCCAUCCAGGUCAAGGACGGGACGCUCCACGAUGUGGAGGUGAAGUACUGAAUGUGCAGGAUAAGGGAGGAAUCUGCCAUGGUUGAAAGAAAGCUGGCAUUGCUGCGGCCGGAAUCCACAGUGACCCUGGGUGCAUGAGCAACCUCCCCCUUCCUUGUGACCAGGG
This 531-nucleotide long non-coding RNA is filed under the name Ictidomys tridecemlineatus (thirteen-lined ground squirrel). Its description in RNAcentral is "lncRNA (ENSSTOG00000031806.1)". The record is from RNAcentral. Lineage: Eukaryota; Metazoa; Chordata; Mammalia; Rodentia; Sciuridae.